RNAcentral lists this ribosomal RNA (301 nucleotides) under uncultured bacterium. Its description in RNAcentral is "partial 16S ribosomal RNA". It matches the Rfam family "Bacterial small subunit ribosomal RNA", at positions 509 to 807 of the family's 1533-position model. The record is from RNAcentral.
CAGUCGCCACGGUAAUACGUAGGUGGCAAGCGUUGUCCGGAAUUAUUGGGCGUAAAGGGCUCGCAGGCGGUUUCUUAAGUCUGAUGUGAAAGCCCCCAGCUCAACCGGGGAGGGUCAUUGGAAACUGGGAAACUUGAGUGCAGAAGAGGAGAGUGGAAUUCCACGUGUAGCGGUGAAAUGCGUAGAGAUGUGGAGGAACACCAGUGGCGAAGGCGACUCUCUGGUCUGUAACCGACGCUGAGGAGCGAAAGCGUGGGGAGCGAACAGGAUUAGAUACCCGCGUAGUCCCUGUCUCUUAUAC